CCUCAGUAACGGCGAGUGAAGCGGCAACAGCUCAAAUUUGAAAUCUGGCGGCCUCUGGGCCGUCCGAGUUGUAAUUUGAAGAGGAUGCUUUUGGCGAGGCGCCUUCCGAGUGCCCUGGAACGGGACGCCACAGAGGGUGAGAGCCCCGUAUGGUUGGACGCCGAGCCUCUGUAAAGCUCCUUCGACGAGUCGAGUAGUUUGGGAAUGCUGCUCAAAAUGGGAGGUAAACCCCUUCUAAAGCUAAAUACUGGCCAGAGACCGAUAGCGCACAAGUAGAGUGAUCGAAAGAUGAAAAGCACUUUGAAAAGAGAGUUAAACAGCACGUGAAAUUGUUGAAAGGGAAGCGCUUGCGACCAGACUUGUGCCCGUCGAAUCAGCCGCCGCUCGUCGGCGGCGCACUUCGGCGGGCUCAGGCCAGCAUCAGUUCGCUGCAGGGGGAGAAAGGCGAUGGGAAUGUGGCUCUUCGGAGUGUUAUAGCCCGCCGCGCAAUACCCCUCGGCGGACUGAGGACCGCGCAUCUGCAAGGAUGCUGGCGUAAUGGUCGUCAGCGACCCGUCUUGAAACACGGACCAAGGAGUCGUCCUAAUAUGCGAGUGUUCGGGUGUAAAACCCCUGCGCGUAAUGAAAGUGAACGGAGGUGAGAGCUUCGGCGCAUCAUCGACCGAUCCUGAUGUUCUCGGAUGGAUUUGAGUAAGAGCAUAUUGGGCCGGACCCGAAAGAAGGUGAACUAUGCCUGUAUAGGGUAAAGCCAGAGGAAACUCUGGUGGAGGCUCGCAGCGGUUCUGACGUGCAAAUCGAUCGUCAAAUA
RNAcentral lists this ribosomal RNA (808 nucleotides) under Scedosporium boydii. RNAcentral describes it as "partial large subunit ribosomal RNA". It matches the Rfam family "Eukaryotic large subunit ribosomal RNA", at positions 78 to 911 of the family's 3401-position model. The record is from RNAcentral. Lineage: Eukaryota; Fungi; Ascomycota; Sordariomycetes; Microascales; Microascaceae.